This 236-nucleotide unclassified non-coding RNA is filed under the name Hevea brasiliensis (rubber tree). Lineage: Eukaryota; Viridiplantae; Streptophyta; Magnoliopsida; Malpighiales; Euphorbiaceae. The record is from RNAcentral.
GUGGACUCGAGCGGCAACUAGAGCGUUUUGAUGGAGCGGCUGAAGAAGGCAAUUGAAGAUGAAGGUGGUAAUCCUGACGAAAUUGAAAUUACCUCCGAGGGAAACAAGAAAACAUCAAAGAGGUCUAGCAAAGGGCGCAAACCAGAAGAAGAGGGUGUGGAAGAUAACGGGCUGGAGGAAAACUCUGGGGAUGGACAGGAGGAUGUUGAGACCAGUCUGGAGAACUUGCAGGACAU